UCGACCGGCGCACGGGUGCGUAACGCGUAUGCAACCUACCUUAACAGGGGAGUAACACUGAGAAAUUGGUACUAAUACCCCAUAAUAUCAUAGAAGGCAUCUUUUAUGGUUGAAAAUUCCGAUGGUUAGAGAUGGGCAUGCGUUGUAUUAGCUAGUUGGUGGGGUAACGGCUCACCAAGGCGACGAUACAUAGGGGGACUGAGAGGUUAACCCCCCACACUGGUACUGAGACACGGACCAG
RNAcentral lists this ribosomal RNA (241 nucleotides) under uncultured bacterium. RNAcentral describes it as "partial 16S ribosomal RNA". It matches the Rfam family "Bacterial small subunit ribosomal RNA", at positions 91 to 334 of the family's 1533-position model. The record is from RNAcentral.